GACGAACGCUGGCGGCGUGCCUAAUACAUGCAAGUAGAACGCUGAAGGAGGAGCUUGCUUCUCCGGAUGAGUUGCGAACGGGUGAGUAACGCGUAGGUAACCUGCCUGGUAGCGGGGGAUAACUAUUGGAAACGAUAGCUAAUACCGCAUAACAGUAGAUAUCGCAUGAUAUCUGCUUGAAAGGUGCAAUUGCAUCACUACCAGAUGGACCUGCGUUGUAUUAGCUAGUUGGUGAGGUAACGGCUCACCAAGGCGACGAUACAUAGCCGACCUGAGAGGGUGAUCGGCCACACUGGGACUGAGACACGGCCCAGACUCCUACGGGAGGCAGCAGUAGGGAAUCUUCGGCAAUGGACGGAAGUCUGACCGAGCAACGCCGCGUGAGUGAAGAAGGGUUUCGGAUCGUAAAGCUCUGUUGUAAGAGAAGAACGAGUGUGAGAGUGGAAAGUUCACACUGUGACGGUAUCUUACCAGAAAGGGACGGCUAACUACGUG
Molecule: ribosomal RNA, 495 nt
Filed under: uncultured bacterium
Lineage: Bacteria
Description: partial 16S ribosomal RNA
Rfam family: Bacterial small subunit ribosomal RNA
Source: RNAcentral